UAUUUUCUUGCAGAGCCUCCAGGAUUAUAGCAGAUUUAAUUUGGAAUAUCCUGAUAAUUAGCAAGGAAAUUGAUUUACAUAAUUAUUAAGGACAGAAGUUCCAGAAGAAAAUAUCAACAUAUUUGGAAGAGAUGAUACUAUGGGCCACAGCAAUUUUACCUUGUUUGAAGAACUGUUAUUAGAUAUAUUGAAUGAAAUAAACUGAAUCUGUGAUAUAUUUUAUAUUUUUAUGGUUAUUUUUUUAAUUAUGUUGAUUGUUAUACAUUUUUAUUUAGAACAAACAUGUUAUGAAAAUGCAAUUUAUUUUAUAAUAAAAAUCAUUUGUAUAAAAUUAUUACUUCA
RNAcentral lists this long non-coding RNA (342 nucleotides) under Mytilus galloprovincialis (Mediterranean mussel). The record is from RNAcentral. Lineage: Eukaryota; Metazoa; Mollusca; Bivalvia; Mytilida; Mytilidae.